GUGCUUUCUUUAAGGGAAAAGGUGAAAGUUCUCAAAAGAAAAAACAUCAUAUGCUGAGGUUGCUAAGAUUUACGGCACAACAUAUUCCUGUAGUGAGCUGCAUGCAAGGAAGAAGCCUGGUAGGAGUGAAAGGUUAAUAGCCAAGAAAGAAAGAAGGAAGAAGAAAACAGCUCCCCGUACAGAGACAGAGGAAGGGGGAAUUUGAACAAAGAAAAAACCCCGUGUGCGUCGGAAAAGUGGCUGCUUAUACGUAUCCUAAAU
Gorilla gorilla gorilla (western lowland gorilla) is the source of this 261-nucleotide long non-coding RNA. RefSeq lists it as uncharacterized. NCBI's taxonomy places the organism in Eukaryota, Metazoa, Chordata, Mammalia, Primates, Hominidae. The transcript is spliced from 3 exons. The record is from RefSeq and is a predicted model, not a curated record.